Molecule: long non-coding RNA, 1623 nt
Filed under: Olea europaea subsp. europaea
Lineage: Eukaryota; Viridiplantae; Streptophyta; Magnoliopsida; Lamiales; Oleaceae
Source: RNAcentral
CUUUUUCAUCUUGCCGAUUUUAUUUAUUUAUUUAUUUUUUAUACAAUGGAUUGUUUUACAGUCGGAUUCUUUCCCCAUUUUUACACGCAAUCACCCUCCCCCCCUUCCAUUCCGUCUGGCUCCAUUUUCCACUACUGCACCACCAUACCCAGAAUCCGCCACUCGUUACCAUAAUCAUCGUUUUGUAGGGCAAAGCUCUAACUUUAAAUUUAAAAAAAUGUUAUCUUUCUUGCAUCUUCUUGACCUGAGUUUAAGCUCGCAGAAGAGGGCAAAACCUUACCUUCUUCUCACUUGAUUUAUUGUGGAGCUAGAUAGUUUGCUCUGGUAUCAUGGCUUUCUUAGUUGAGAUCUCGGAAGAAAAGCACCAAUUUUCGCCAAAGGUGUUCUCCGGUCGACGACUUUCAGCCAAAUGUGGCUGUCCUAUUCCUCGAAAACUACACUCUCCCUUCAAAAUCAGGUGCUUCUUUGGAAUUCCGUUAAUUCGAUGAUUUUCUUAAACAAUUUGAAGAUAAUUUUGCAGUAACCGAUUUUGUUUCGAUUACAAAUUUGAUGUGUGUUUGUGGUGGGUUCAACGAUAGAGGAUGUUUUCAAAUCUGUUGAAAGUUUUACUCAAUUUAAGGAGUUCAGGAGUGUGGCUUGUGGCGUUCUUGCUGUUUGGGUUUUGACUGCUGCCUCGCCUAUAAAUGCAGCUGAUCAAAUCAAAAUUUAACAGCCUUUUCUUAGUUAAGUUUUGCAAUUAAGUUUUGCAUUUUUAUUGUGAUUUACCAUUGAUAGAAAAAUGCUUGGGAAUAAAAUUAAUACUUGAGGUAAUUUCUUGUCAUUACUGACCAUUAAUAUUGAAAUUCUUGUUUCACAAAUGAUCUAGCUACAACAACAAACAUUUAAAUGUGUAUUAGGAUUUAUUUUUGUUUGAGAGUUAAUCUAUUGCGACUCUCUUCCUGUAUCCUUAACGUUGUUCUGGGACGAUUUAUGUAAAAUAUGGGCUGAGUUUCUGAAAUGAUAUGCCAUUUGAGAUAAGAAGUGGUGGAAUUAAUUGAAAUGUGUAGGAGUUUGAUUUGCAGAGGCUACCGCCUGUCAAGAGAUAUGAUGGAAGCAGAGUAAUGUUGAGAAGCACCUCCUUCGGAAAAGUUUCACAGAUUAGUAGAUGCCUGGCAUUCCCUAGAAUUACAAUGGUAGUUGCAAUUAUUAAUAAGGACUUCUUGUUUCCACCUGCUUCCGUAUCCUUUUACUCUUUAUGAAAAAUGUAAAAAUUGGCACUUUGAUUCAUCUCAUUUAUAGAUUCAUAUGCUUUAGGUAGAGGGCAUUUUUCUGGUGUUCUUCCAAUCACAACUGCCAAGGUGCCUAUUCUGAAAGUCGAUGAUUGCGGAACUGGUGUUGAAUAUGAUAUAUUAGUUGAAAAUGGGGAUCGAAUCUUGAAAUCCUAGAUGAUUAUUUUGAGAGGUUUAAAAAGCUAAGCUUCUUAGUAUCUUAUGCAUCUAUAUAUUUUGUCAUUCAACUUUUCAGCUUCAUUUGUCCAGGUUCUAUUUCAUCCUCCUUAUGCAUCUAUAUAUUUUGUCAUUCAACUUUUCAGCUUCAUUUGUCCAGGUUCUAUUUCAUCCUCUUAGUCCAACAUAGAAUUGUUUG